This 232-nucleotide long non-coding RNA is filed under the name Gadus morhua (Atlantic cod). Its description in RNAcentral is "lncRNA (ENSGMOG00000023379.1)". Lineage: Eukaryota; Metazoa; Chordata; Actinopteri; Gadiformes; Gadidae. The record is from RNAcentral.
ACCAAAUGAAACAUGAGGGGUGACACUGUCCUUUUUCUUUGGUCGUCAUGAAAAAAAAAAACAUAAGGGGUAACACUGUUGUUUUUUAUUGGUCGUCAUGAAAAAAAAACAUAAGGGGUAACACUGUUGUUUUUUAUUGGUCGUCAUGAAAAAAAAACAUAAGGGGUAACACUGUUGUUUUUUAUUGGUCGUCAUGAAAAAAAACAUAAGGGGUAACACUGUUGUAUUUGUC